AACGAACGCUGGCGGCAUGCCUAACACAUGCAAGUCGAACGAGACCUUCGGGUCUAGUGGCGCACGGGUGCGUAACGCGUGGGAACCUGCCCUUAUGUUCGGAAUAACUCCCCGAAAGGGGUGCUAAUACCGGAUAAUGUCUUCGGACCAAAGAUUUAUCGCCUUUGGAUGGGCCCGCGUUGUAUUAGCUAGUUGGUAGGGUAAAAGCCUACCAAGACGACGAUCCUUAGCUGGUCUGAGAGGAUGAUCAGCCACACUGGGACUGAGACACGGCCCAGACUCCUACGGGAGGCAGCAGUGGGGAAUAUUGGAAAAUGGGCGAAAGCCAGAUCCAGCAAUGCCGCGUGAGUGAUGAAGGCCUUAGGGUUGUAAAGCUCUUUUACCCGGGAUGAUAAUGACAGUACCGGGAGAAUAAGCUCCGGCUAACUCCGUG
Molecule: ribosomal RNA, 433 nt
Filed under: uncultured bacterium
Lineage: Bacteria
Description: partial 16S ribosomal RNA
Rfam family: Bacterial small subunit ribosomal RNA
Source: RNAcentral